GGGUUGAUAGAGUUUGGACUGAAAGCAGGAAGGGAAGUAGGAUAAGCAAGCCACAGCCGCAGCCAUCCAAGAAGGCUACUCUCAGAAUAUUUAGGCUUGAAAACUAUGCUGGCUAUUGUGUGCAAGACAUAUGAAGGUGUUAAGGCUCUUGAAAAGCAUGACAAUGAGGGCAUGAUUGACACAAAUGCUGGUCUGUAUGGACUUGGGCCACCUAUUGGAAGGCUCUUGAAUGGAAGGUUUCUUGUGCUUUGUCUUGAAAAAUUGAGAAUUUUUCCUU
This is a long non-coding RNA of Ananas comosus (pineapple), 277 nucleotides long. RefSeq lists it as uncharacterized. The transcript has 3 exons. NCBI's taxonomy places the organism in Eukaryota, Viridiplantae, Streptophyta, Magnoliopsida, Poales, Bromeliaceae. The record is from RefSeq and is a predicted model, not a curated record.